This 788-nucleotide ribosomal RNA is filed under the name uncultured Lactobacillus sp. Its description in RNAcentral is "bacterial SSU rRNA". It matches the Rfam family "Bacterial small subunit ribosomal RNA", at positions 28 to 776 of the family's 1533-position model. Lineage: Bacteria; Bacillati; Bacillota; Bacilli; Lactobacillales; Lactobacillaceae. The record is from RNAcentral.
GACGAACGCUGGCGGCGUGCCUAAUACAUGCAAGUCGAGCGAGCUUGCCUAGAUGAAUUUGGUGCUUGCACCAGAUGAAACUAGAUACAAGCGAGCGGCGGACGGGUGAGUAACACGUGGGUAACCUGCCCAAGAGACUGGGAUAACACCUGGAAACAGAUGCUAAUACCGGAUAACAACACUAGACGCAUGUCUAGAGUUUAAAAGAUGGUUCUGCUAUCACUCUUGGAUGGACCUGCGGUGCAUUAGCUAGUUGGUAAGGUAACGGCUUACCAAGGCAAUGAUGCAUAGCCGAGUUGAGAGACUGAUCGGCCACAUUGGGACUGAGACACGGCCCAAACUCCUACGGGAGGCAGCAGUAGGGAAUCUUCCACAAUGGACGCAAGUCUGAUGGAGCAACGCCGCGUGAGUGAAGAAGGGUUUCGGCUCGUAAAGCUCUGUUGGUAGUGAAGAAAGAUAGAGGUAGUAACUGGCCUUUAUUUGACGGUAAUUACUUAGAAAGUCACGGCUAACUACGUGCCAGCAGCCGCGGUAAUACGUAGGUGGCAAGCGUUGUCCGGAUUUAUUGGGCGUAAAGCGAGUGCAGGCGGCUCAAUAAGUCUGAUGUGAAAGCCUUCGGCUCAACCGGAGAAUUGCAUCAGAAACUGUUGAACUUGAGUGCAGAAGAGGAGAGUGGAACUCCAUGUGUAGCGGUGGAAUGCGUAGAUAUAUGGAAGAACACCAGUGGCGAAGGCGGCUCUCUGGUCUGCAACUGACGCUGAGGCUCGAAAGCAUGGGUAGCGAACAGG